UAAGCUAACUGACUAUGGUCUUCAAGAG
RNAcentral lists this non-coding RNA (28 nucleotides) under Mus musculus (house mouse). The record is from RNAcentral. Lineage: Eukaryota; Metazoa; Chordata; Mammalia; Rodentia; Muridae.